Molecule: ribosomal RNA, 292 nt
Filed under: uncultured bacterium
Lineage: Bacteria
Description: partial 16S ribosomal RNA
Rfam family: Bacterial small subunit ribosomal RNA
Source: RNAcentral
GUGCCAGCAGCCGCGGUAAAACGUAGGGGGCAAGCGUUGCCCGGAUUCACUGGGCGUAAAGCGGGUGUAGGCGGUUCUCUAAGUCGGAUGUGAAAUCCAGCGGCUCAACCGCUGAAUUGCAUCCGAUACUGGGGAACUUGAGGACGGUAGAGGUUGGUGGAAUUCCCGGUGUACCGGUGAAAUGGGCAGAUAUCGGGAGGAACACCAGUGGCGAAGGCGGCCAACUGGGCCGAUCCUGACGCUGAGACCCGAAAGCCAGGGUAGCGAACCGGAUUAGAAACCCCAGUAGUCC